GUGCUUGGGUAGCUCAGUUGGUAGAGCGCUUGCCUUUGAAAGGCAAAGGUCGUGAGUUCGAGUCUCGGCCUUGCACA
Schistocerca gregaria is the source of this 77-nucleotide non-coding RNA. Lineage: Eukaryota; Metazoa; Arthropoda; Insecta; Orthoptera; Acrididae. The record is from the annotation of a RefSeq genome assembly.